RNAcentral lists this ribosomal RNA (253 nucleotides) under uncultured bacterium. Its description in RNAcentral is "partial 16S ribosomal RNA". It matches the Rfam family "Bacterial small subunit ribosomal RNA", at positions 524 to 776 of the family's 1533-position model. The record is from RNAcentral.
UACGGGGGGGGCAAGCGUUGUUCGGAAUUACUGGGCGUAAAGGGCUCGUAGGCGGCCAACUAAGGCAGACGUGAAAUCCCCAGGCUCAACCUGGGAACUGCGUCUGAUACUGGAUGGCUUGAAUUCGGGAGAGGGAUGCAGAAUUCCAGGUGUAGCGGUGAAAUGCGUAGAUAUCUGGAGGAAUACCGGUGGCGAAGGCGGCAUCCUGGACCGACAUUGACGCUGAUGAGCGAAAGCCAGGGGAGCAAACGGG